AAAAGACUAAUAUAGAAGAUAUAUAAAGUACAUCAGAACAAAAUUGUCUAAAAUGUGUCGUGUGUUAAACAUGUGACAACCUACACUCAUUGUCAUCAGGCAUGAUAGUUUAGUGAAAAGUUCAUGGUAGUUUUCUCUAAUAAUCAUAGUAAUGUUAGCAUACCUUAUUCGUAAUCAAUAGCCCUUACCCCUCUUUAUCACAGUAGUUUUGUGGAUUGAAAUCAACAUUGUGCAACAAUAUAGUGAUAUCUCUCAGCUUGCAUCUGCAUGCUACAACCGAUGGAUAUUUUGUUGCAAAUUUUUUUAUAAUCAUGUUGCAUUAUGAUAAAUUAACAAAACGAGGGGUUUUAACCGGUUACUUAAAAUUGAUAUUUUUUUGUUGUUCAGGAGAUAAACUUGUGGGCGAGGUUAGCAGACUUGUAGUGGCAGAAGCCUGCAUACAAGCUCUCGAUAUAGACUUUACUAAGGGACAAAUAUAUGAGAUCAACUCGAUACAGGGAGAAGGACCUGGAAGCGAUACGGAGAAAUGGAAGGAGCUUUUCAAAGCUGCCACAAUUAAUUAGAUGGAAAUGUUGUUGCUCAUCUCCGUCACUGAGUUUUUGCUUGAACAUGAGUUUAUACACUUGUAUAAUAGUAAUGUGGACUAUGUACUCUUGUAUAGCGUUGUGUAUAAUUAAUGUAAUUAAUUUGUAUUUAUAUCAUAAUUUUAUCUUCAGAAUAAAAAGAACAUAAUUGUACCA
Molecule: long non-coding RNA, 740 nt
Organism: Asparagus officinalis (garden asparagus)
Lineage: Eukaryota; Viridiplantae; Streptophyta; Magnoliopsida; Asparagales; Asparagaceae
Exons: 2
Source: RefSeq, a predicted model, not a curated record